Molecule: long non-coding RNA, 592 nt
Organism: Venturia canescens
Lineage: Eukaryota; Metazoa; Arthropoda; Insecta; Hymenoptera; Ichneumonidae
Exons: 4
Source: RefSeq, a predicted model, not a curated record
CUGUGAAGAUCUAUGGGGAAGUGGAGGCCUGAAAACGAAAUGGCGACAGAAUCGGUAGAUUUCCACGUCCGAAACCCGAUUGAAGUGUCUUUAUCGUGCUUCGUCUCUAUACCUGAUGCCAUCGAGAUUGGCGGAUUCGAUGAAGGCAGGCUUCGCAUCGGUCCAAAAUAUUCGAUCGGUCGUGUAAUCGAUCGUCAAACCAUUCGGCCAAGUGAUGGAAGUCGUCACAAUCGCUGUUCUGUCCGAACCAUCCAUAUCCGCUCGUUCGAUCUUCGGAUUCGAUCCUUAAUGUUCGAGCAAAGACAAAAACAUCGAUUUAACCUUUGUGUAUGAACGAGAACUCGGCAAAACGGUUCAGCAGGCAAAACACCGUAUUCCAACUGAGUUCAAUGAAAUCUGUUCGUUCGCAUUUGCCAAUGGAAAGAAUCGUUGGUAUUUUUCUACGUCACGCUUCUCAAAGUUUUUAGGAUCACUGACCUUCCUGAUGUCCACGCGAUUCGUGAAUAGCAGUUUGAGAUUAGCACCGAUGGCUUUACAAGUUCGGAAAUCCGGUCGCAGCACGUAGCCGCGCAUACAGCUGCACGUGAAAGAU